CAGGGGCAAAAUCAUAAUUUUACUAAAAUCCUGAUUUGAUAGUAUCAUUUGGUAGAACAAAUGAUUUGUAAUCUAUUGGUAAAAAUUUCAUUAUUUUUGGACUUAUAUUUUUGAAGUUAUGAAUGUUUGAAGUGCAUGAGUCGACUCAUGAGUCGACUCAUGGCACAAUGAGCUGCUUGGCACGCUAAAAUUUCCCUUGGCACGCUGGUUUUCUGGCUUGGCACGACCUGUGAGUCGACUCAUGAGUCGACCCACAAGGCAUGAGUCGAC
Molecule: long non-coding RNA, 270 nt
Filed under: Elaeis guineensis (African oil palm)
Lineage: Eukaryota; Viridiplantae; Streptophyta; Magnoliopsida; Arecales; Arecaceae
Description: long non-coding RNA (EGUI_LNC080449)
Source: RNAcentral